This 138-nucleotide small nucleolar RNA is filed under the name Ornithorhynchus anatinus (platypus). The record is from RNAcentral. Lineage: Eukaryota; Metazoa; Chordata; Mammalia; Monotremata; Ornithorhynchidae.
AGCCUCUCAGAAACUCACCUUGAGAGUUUCCAGUACUCUACUAGUCUCGACUAUGGGAGGGAAAGUCAUGCAGAUGCAUGCCCAUUCCAUUCCUAGCUUGGCCAGUGGCUAGCGAGUGGAAGGCAAUCUGCUACAAGU